AUGGAGGACUUUGUUGCUUGGAAUUUUAACAAAACCGACAUAUUUACCGUCAGGUCCGCGUAUUACACUGAAUGGGAGUUCCAACACGGGAGGAAAUUGGCUAGGACGAGCCCUCCAAGCACCACCACAGUGAACCCUGUCUGGCAGCAGCUGUGGAAACUUCAAGUCCCGCUAAAGGUAAAGAUCCACUGUUGGAGGGUAUUGCAUGGGACCAUUCCAUGUAAUAGCAUUCUUGCUAAUCGACACAUACAGACUAGUAGCCUCUGCCCUGUUUGCAAAGUCCAUUGUGAGGAUAUCAAGCAUGCUACUUUCUCAUGUGUUCGAGUUUCAAAAGUCUGGGGCAGUUUGGGCGCGGGUGACGCCAUAUCUGCAGCCUACGGACAUGAUAAUACAGGCCCGGGUGCCUUGGAAACCAUACUGCAAGGUCAGAUUUCGGGACCUACUCACAUUUCGGCUGUGGGGUUUAAGGAACUAGUUGCGACGGCUUGCUGGUAUACAUCAAAACCAGCAGCUAAGAUUCGAAGACAUGGCUGGGAACAACCUGGAGUUGGAUUUGCAAAGCUGAAUGUUGAUGUGGCGUUCUCUGUUGAUGCGGGAAGUGGAGCGAUAGGAGCCGUCAUCCACGAUGAUCAAGGCAGAUUCUUAUCGGCGAGUGCUUGUGCUAUCAGUUACGUAGCUGAUGCACCUACAGCUGAAGCUCGCUCUAUCCGGGAUGGAUUGAUCCUAGCAAGCAACUCAGGAUGCAAUAACAUCAUUGUUAAUUCAGACUGCCUGGAAGUAAUUCAGACUAUGCAGGAGGAUGGCAAUUCGAUUGGUGCUGCAGCUGCUAUCUAUGAGGAGUGUAGUUUUUUAGCAAGGAAUUUCUCCAGUAUUUCUUUUGUUCAUUGUCCUAGGGAAAGUAAUAAGGUAGCUCAUUUGCUAGCUAGUCAAGCGGAGGGACCUCUUACCACUUCGUGGUAUGUGGAUCCACCUAGUUUCAUUUUAGAUGCUUUGGCAAAUGAUGUAAACUUAUUUGAAGAUUAA
This 1023-nucleotide ribosomal RNA is filed under the name Triticum aestivum (bread wheat). Its description in RNAcentral is "partial small subunit ribosomal RNA". Lineage: Eukaryota; Viridiplantae; Streptophyta; Magnoliopsida; Poales; Poaceae. The record is from RNAcentral.